CGCCUUUACUCCGCUUCAGGCUUUGUGCCAGAACCAGAGGGGCUGAUAGUGAGCGACUGGGGCAGGCGAGGGCG
Molecule: microRNA precursor, 74 nt
Organism: Bos indicus x Bos taurus (hybrid cattle)
Lineage: Eukaryota; Metazoa; Chordata; Mammalia; Artiodactyla; Bovidae
Source: Ensembl